Molecule: long non-coding RNA, 310 nt
Organism: Arvicola amphibius (Eurasian water vole)
Lineage: Eukaryota; Metazoa; Chordata; Mammalia; Rodentia; Cricetidae
Exons: 3
Source: RefSeq, a predicted model, not a curated record
GGAAUCAUGCCUCCCAUGAGAACCAGGCUCCACAGUCAGGGGAUCCUAGAGGCACCCACAGAACCAGCCCUGAAGAGGUCAAGCCCCAGCUCCGUGGCUUCUGAGCCACGGGUUGGGGAUCGGUCUGGAUGAGAUUCUGACAGCCCCUCUGGGGACCCAGGCCAGAUGCCCAGGACACAGGCUGGCCACAGGCCCCUCCUGCAGAGGAAGAGCUGUCCACCCCAGAGAACAUCUAUCUCUCCAGGCCACCAUUCCCAGAAUGACAACUGGCUCCUGCACUUACCACCAUGUGCCACACCCUGAGGGACUG